CGGCGGUCGCUGCAAAACCUAG
This 22-nucleotide small nuclear RNA is filed under the name Arabidopsis thaliana (thale cress). RNAcentral's name for it is "snRNA_13603". The record is from RNAcentral. Lineage: Eukaryota; Viridiplantae; Streptophyta; Magnoliopsida; Brassicales; Brassicaceae.